UACGUAGGGUGCAAGCGUUGUCCGGAAUUAUUGGGCGUAAAGAGCUCGUAGGCGGUUUGUCGCGUCGAAUGUGAAAACCCGGGGCUCAACCCCGGGCCUGCAUUCGAUACGGGCAGACUAGAGUUCGGUAGGGGAGUCUGGAAUUCCUGGUGUAGCGGUGAAAUGCGCAGAUAUCAAGUGGAACACCAGUGGCGAAGGCGAGUCUCUGGACAUUUCCUGACGCUGAGGCACGAAAGCCAGGGGAGCAAACGGG
RNAcentral lists this ribosomal RNA (253 nucleotides) under uncultured bacterium. Its description in RNAcentral is "partial 16S ribosomal RNA". It matches the Rfam family "Bacterial small subunit ribosomal RNA", at positions 524 to 776 of the family's 1533-position model. The record is from RNAcentral.